Molecule: ribosomal RNA, 250 nt
Filed under: uncultured bacterium
Lineage: Bacteria
Description: partial 16S ribosomal RNA
Rfam family: Bacterial small subunit ribosomal RNA
Source: RNAcentral
CCAAAGCUGGCGACCGGCGCACGGGUGAGUAACACGUAUCCAACCUGCCUCAUACUCGGGGAUAGCCUUUCGAAAGAAAGAUUAAUAUCCGAUAGCAUAUAUUUCCCGCAUGGGUUUUAUAUUAAAGAAAUUCGGUAUGAGAUGGGGAUGCGUUCCAUCAGUUUGUUGGGGGGUAACGGCCCACCAAGACUACGAUGGAUAGGGGUUCUGAGAGGAAGGUCCCCCACAUUGGAACUGAGACACGGUCCAA